GACCCGAAACCCGGUGAUCUAGCCAUGGGCAGGUUGAAGGUUGGGUAACACUAACUGGAGGACCGAACCGACUAAUGUUGAAAAAUUAGCGGAUGACCUGUGGCUGGGGGUGAAAGGCCAAUCAAACCGGGAGAUAGCUGGUUCUCCCCGAAAGCUAUUUAGGUAGCGCCUCGUGAAUUCAUCUCCGGGGGUAGAGCACUGUUUCGGCUAGGGGGCCAUCCCGGCUUACCAACCCGAUGCAAACUGCGAAUACCGGAGAAUGUUAUCACGGGAGACACACGGCGGGUGCUAACGUCCGUCGUGAAGAGGGAAACAACCCAGACCGCCAGCUAAGGUCCCAAAGUCAUGGUUAAGUGGGAAACGAUGUGGGAAGGCCCAGACAGCCAGGAUGUUGGCUUAGAAGCAGCCAUCAUUUAAAGAAAGCGUAAUAGCUCACUGGUCGAGUCGGCCUGCGCGGAAGAUGUAACGGGGCUAAACCAU
This 480-nucleotide ribosomal RNA is filed under the name Salmonella enterica. Its description in RNAcentral is "partial 23S ribosomal RNA". It matches the Rfam family "Bacterial large subunit ribosomal RNA", at positions 712 to 1190 of the family's 2925-position model. Lineage: Bacteria; Pseudomonadati; Pseudomonadota; Gammaproteobacteria; Enterobacterales; Enterobacteriaceae. RNAcentral also lists the same sequence under 6 other names. The record is from RNAcentral.